ACUCGGGAGCUGGGAUCUUCACGGGCAUUCGAGAUGUUCUGCUCUCUCUGUGCUUCGAGGUGUGCGGCGAGAAAGUCCGGCAGGUGGGUGUAACUGGGUGAGAAAAUGGCGUCCAGCUCGUCUCUCCCAGAGGACGAUCUCUCCUGUCCGGUGUGCUGUGACAUCUUCGCUGACCCUGUCCUCCUGAGAUGUAGCCACAGCUUCUGCACGGCCUGUCUGCGGGAAUACUGGAAACACAGAGAAUCACGGGAAUGUCCACUCCUGUGAUUCUGGACCCCAACACUGCCUACCCACACCUCAUCCUGUCUGAGGACCUGACCAGUGUGAGAUCCAGUCAGGAGAGACUGCAGCUUCCUGACAACCCAGAGAGGUUUAAUAGCUAUUGAUGGGUCCUGGCCUCCGAGGGCUUUAACUCAGGGACACACAGCUGGGAUGUUGAGGUCGGAGACAGUAAGACCUGGCUCCUGGGUGUGUUAGCAGAGUCUGUCCAGACGAAUGGAGGCAAACUGGGCGAACGCUGGAGAAUCUGGUUGAUCAAGGGUGAAUACGGAGCAGGAUACUCACUAAGGUCAGCCACUGUUGAUCUGACAGUGAGCCAGAAACCCCAGAGGAUCAGAGUGCAGCUGGAUUGGGACGGAGGAAAGCUGUCCUUCUCUGACCCCGAUAGAAACACACACCUACACACACUCACACACACCUUCACGAGAGAGUCUUUCCAUACAUUGGUACUGUCUGCACUCUACCUCCUUUGAGGAUCUUACCAGUGAAGGCCUCUGUAACUGUAGAACAGCACAGUCAUUAGAGAUGGUACCACCUCUAUCUGUUACAGUAGAACAACAUGUUGGGGGUUUACAACCUUCCUGUCAUGAAGACCACCAACCUCUAACAUGAACAUCCAGAACAAAGAUCAACUUAAGAGAGUCAUACACAGGUAGCAAAAUUUUCUUAAUGUAUUACAGUAUCUGAAGUCAGAAUUUAUUUAGUUAUGUCGUAAAAAUAUAAUGCUUGUACAUAUACACUGUAGGGUACAUUUAUAUUUUUGUACUGAUAUUUUCCAAAUUAAACGCUUAGUCUGCUAAGAAUCAGAAUCCGGUGUAUUGUUUGUACAAAGGAAUUUGCUUUGGGUAGGUUGGUGCAUAACUAAAACAUAGUA
This is a long non-coding RNA of Hypomesus transpacificus, 1153 nucleotides long. RefSeq lists it as uncharacterized. The transcript has 3 exons. The record is from RefSeq and is a predicted model, not a curated record. NCBI's taxonomy places the organism in Eukaryota, Metazoa, Chordata, Actinopteri, Osmeriformes, Osmeridae.